AGUGAACGCUGGCGGUAGGCCUAACACAUGCAAGUCGAACGGCAGCACAGUAAGAGCUUGCUCUUACGGGUGGCGAGUGGCGGACGGGUGAGGAAUACAUCGGAAUCUACUUUUUCGUGGGGGAUAGCGUAGGGAAACUUACGCUAAUACCGCAUACGACCUUCGGGUGAAAGCAGGGGAUCUUCGGACCUUGCGCGAUUGAAUGAGCCGAUGUCGGAUUAGCUAGUUGGCGGGGUAAAGGCCCACCAAGGCGACGAUCCGUAGCUGGUCUGAGAGGAUGAUCAGCCACACUGGAACUGAGACACGGUCCAGACUCCUACGGGAGGCAGCAGUGGGGAAUAUUGGACAAUGGGCGCAAGCCUGAUCCAGCCAUACCGCGUGGGUGAAGAAGGCCUUCGGGUUGUAAAGCCCUUUUGUUGGGAAAGAAAAGCAGCAGGUUAAUACCCCGCUGUUCUGACGGUACCCAAAGAAUAAGCACCGGCUAACUUCGUG
This 492-nucleotide ribosomal RNA is filed under the name uncultured bacterium. Its description in RNAcentral is "partial 16S ribosomal RNA". It matches the Rfam family "Bacterial small subunit ribosomal RNA", at positions 29 to 507 of the family's 1533-position model. The record is from RNAcentral.